Molecule: ribosomal RNA, 612 nt
Filed under: uncultured bacterium
Lineage: Bacteria
Description: bacterial SSU rRNA
Rfam family: Bacterial small subunit ribosomal RNA
Source: RNAcentral
CCUACGGGAGGCAGCAGUGGGGAAUUUUGGACAAUGGGCGAAAGCCUGAUCCAGCAAUGCCGCGUGUGGGAAGAAGGCCUUCGGGUUGUAAACCACUUUUGUACGGAACGAAAAGGUCUGCUUUAAUAAAGCGGGCUCAUGACGGUACCGUAAGAAUAAGCACCGGCUAACUACGUGCCAGCAGCCGCGGUAAUACGUAGGGUGCGAGCGUUAAUCGGAAUUACUGGGCGUAAAGCGUGCGCAGGCGGUUAUAUAAGACAGUUGUGAAAUCCCCGGGCUCAACCUGGGAAUUGCAUCUGUGACUGUAUAGCUAGAGUACGGUAGAGGGGGAUGGAAUUCCGCGUGUAGCAGUGAAAUGCGUAGAUAUGCGGAGGAACACCGAUGGCGAAGGCAAUCCCCUGGACCUGUACUGACGCUCAUGCACGAAAGCGUGGGGAGCAAACAGGAUUAGAUACCCUGGUAGUCCACGCCCUAAACGAUGUCAACUGUUNUUGGGUGCAUUAGUACUCAGUAACGAAGCUAACGCGUGAAGUUGACCGCCUGGGGAUACGGCCGCAAGGUUGAACUUAAGGAAUUGACGGNGNGAGAGNGCGAGACGACGACGAGGAGAGG